RNAcentral lists this ribosomal RNA (459 nucleotides) under uncultured soil bacterium. Its description in RNAcentral is "bacterial SSU rRNA". It matches the Rfam family "Bacterial small subunit ribosomal RNA", at positions 26 to 486 of the family's 1533-position model. The record is from RNAcentral.
AGAUUGAACGCUGGCGGCAUGCCUUACACAUGCAAGUCGAACGGUAGAGUAGCAAUACUCGAGAGUGGCGAACGGGUGAGUAAUAUAUCGGAACGUGCCCAGUCGUGGGGGAUAACGUAGAGAAAUUUACGCUAAUACCGCAUACGAUCUAAGGAUGAAAGCGGGGGACUCGCAAGAGCCUCGCGCGAUUGGAGCGGCUGAUAUCAGAUUAGGUUGUUGGUGAGGUAAAAGCGUCACCAAGCCGACGAUCUGUAGCUGGUUUGAGAGAACGACCAGCCACACUGGGACUGAGACACGGCCCAGACUCCUACGGGAGGCAGCAGUGGGGAAUUUUGGACAAUGGGACGAAAGCCUGAUCCAGCAAUGCCGCGUGCAGGAAGAAGGCCGUUCGGUUGUAAACUGUCUUUUAGUACGGAACGAAAGGUCUAGCCCUAAGUACGGCGGCCAUGACGUACGAAG